This 161-nucleotide ribosomal RNA is filed under the name uncultured Bacteroidota bacterium. RNAcentral's name for it is "uncultured Bacteroidetes bacterium partial 16S ribosomal RNA". It matches the Rfam family "Bacterial small subunit ribosomal RNA", at positions 345 to 502 of the family's 1533-position model. The record is from RNAcentral. Lineage: Bacteria; Pseudomonadati; Bacteroidota.
GAGGCAGCAGUAAGGAAUAUUGGUCAAUGGGGGCAACCCUGAACCAGCCACGCCGCGUGAGGGAUGACUGCCCUCUGGGUUGUAAACCUCUUUUAUCAAGGAAGAAUUUAGUUCAUUUAUGGAUUAAUUGACGGUACUUGAUGAAUAAGCACCGGCUAACU